This 71-nucleotide transfer RNA is filed under the name Sathon sp. RNAcentral's name for it is "tRNA-His". Lineage: Eukaryota; Metazoa; Arthropoda; Insecta; Hymenoptera; Braconidae. The record is from RNAcentral.
UUUUAAAUAGUUUAAAAUAAAACAUUGAUUUGUGGUAUCAAAAAUAUUUAAAAAAAUUUUAAAUUUAGAAA